CCUACGGGUGGCUGCAGUCGAGAAUCAUUCACAAUGGGGGAAACCCUGAUGGUGCGACGCCGCGUGGGGGAAUGCAGGUCUUCGGAUUGUAAACCCCUGUCAUGUGGGAGCAAAUUAAAAAGAUAGUACCACAAGAGGAAGAGACGGCUAACUCUGUGCCAGCAGCCGCGGUAAUACAGAGGUAUCAAGCGUUGUUCGGAAGCACUGGUCGUAAAGGGUGCGUAGGCGGUUUCGUAAGUCGUGUGUGAAAGUCGCGGGCUCAACCCGCGGAUGGCACAUGAUACUGCGAGACUAGAGUAAUGGAGGGGGAACCGGAAUUCGCGGUGUAGCAGUGAAAUGCGUAGAUAUCGAGAGGAACACUCGUGGCGAAGGCAGGUUCCUGGACAGUAACUGACGCUGAGGCACGAAGGCCAGGGGAGCGAAAGGGAUUAGAUACCCUUGUAGUC
Molecule: ribosomal RNA, 446 nt
Filed under: uncultured bacterium
Lineage: Bacteria
Description: partial 16S ribosomal RNA
Rfam family: Bacterial small subunit ribosomal RNA
Source: RNAcentral